This 305-nucleotide ribosomal RNA is filed under the name uncultured bacterium. RNAcentral describes it as "bacterial SSU rRNA". It matches the Rfam family "Bacterial small subunit ribosomal RNA", at positions 334 to 652 of the family's 1533-position model. The record is from RNAcentral.
GGUCCCUACGGGGCGCAGCAGUGGGGAAUAUUGGGCAAUGGAGGCAACUCUUACCCAGCAAUGCCGCGUGAAUGAAGAAGGUCUUCGGAUUGUAAAGUUCUUUAAUUGGGGACGAAAAAAAUGACGGUACCCAAGGAAUAAGCCCCGGCUAACUACGUGCCAGCAGCCGCGGUAAUACGUAGGGGGCAAGCGUUGUUCGGAAUGACUGGGCGUAAAGGGUGUGUAGGCGGUGUAGCAAGUUAGAAGUGAAAUACCUAGAGCUUAAGUCAGGUGCUGCUUCUAAAACUGCUAUACUUGAGUGCAGA